AGGGAAUCCACAGCAGUUUCAUGCAAUGUAUAAAAUAGCUCCAUGAAAGGAGACCAUGGCGUCUUAGAAGCCACAUGAACAAAGCGUUUCCAGCAGGAGUGAUCAGCGUGGCAAGUACUGGAGAGAAGGUGAGAUGAGAAUCGGCCCCUGGAUUUGCCCAGAUGCAGAGGACAAAGAUCAGUCCGCAGCCUACGGGUCCCCUCAGAGCCCCACGGAAGCCCUCAAGCCAUCUGGAAAUUCCUCAGCUUUUCCAGGUGGAUGUGAGGUUGUUCCCCGAGCAGCAGAGCAGCUGGACGCCAGCCUCGCUCACGGAGUCCCCGCGGGUCCCCCGACCUCGAGUGGCUGUUCAGAAACACCAAGCGCCCUCCAGCUCUGAGCUGCUGGUGGCUGCUGGCUCAGGAGGAGGGGCCUGGACGUCUGUCCCCAUGUCCUUAGUGCUUGAGUGAUGUUGGGGACCCUGGAUCCUCAUGGGGUGUCUGGAAAGCACAGGCGCUUUUCCUGGCAUGAGCAGGCCCUCGGGAAGUGUCACCUCCUGCGCUGGCUUGGGCCUCAGUGGGCAGGCUCGUCACCUGAGCCCCGGUGGCCGGGGAUUCCGGGCUCCUCUGGACCAGCUGCCUGAGCCGGGGGGGCCUCGGUUGGGAGAAAGCCAGCGCUGUCACCAAGUCCCUGGGCCCCUCCUGUGACAACUGUGAGUCAUCGCUGGCUGAGUGCCACCGUGGCGCACAUUUCAUACGGGGCCCUCAUUCUCAACAGCUCUGCAGGGCCAUCCCAUUGUCCCUGGGUCACCAGUGAGGAUGCAGGUCCAGCAGCUAAGUCCCAGGCCCUGCCAUGCCGCUGGGGCGGGCUCUGAGCCAACGUCUCUCUCUGUCCACCCGACCGGCCGCCCGCCCGCCUCUCCUGAGCCUCUGCUUUCUCCUUUGUCCUCAGGAUUCUUCUGGCUCGAGCCCUCCGAUGCUGGGAGGCCCAGAGCCCUGCGUAGGGGCACUGUCCCAGCCAGGCCACGGGGGGCUGGGAGAGCCCAUCUCAGGACCCAGCUCUGGCCAUUGGACCCCAGAGAGGCUCACCUGGCAGUCAGCCCCAGGAGCCAGCAGGGAAGCUUGGUUCUGAUGUCCUGAGCUGAGGCCCAGCUGGAGGCCAGUCAGGCAGCUGCCUCACAUCUGGCAGGCCCUGGUCAACCCAGCUGGAUGCAGAUGGCCGGUCCUUCCUCUGAGCCCUGUCCCCACCCUGUGCCAGACUUCCUGCCUUUUUUCUCCAAAAAAAAAGCAAGACUGGUACUGUGAGAACGGCCCAAGGAGGAAGGGGCGCCCGGAGACUGACAGCCUUGCAGCCUCCUUCCCGCACAAAGGCACCACCGUCCCCGCAGCUCUGUGCAUCGCUCACCACAUUUUUCCUGCAGGUGGCAGCGCGGUGUCCUGAGGAAAGGCAACUGUCUAACUGGCACAGUGGGCACCUGCCCGGCCUCGCCUCCCUCCGGCCCUGUCUUCUAGCCAAAAGAUGCUCUGGUCACUGGAUUCACUCACUCACUGGCCAUCACACGUUAAAGGAGCUGCGUCCACUCUGCUGAUUCCUGUGCCCUUGACCCGCCCCAGCUGAAUGGGGCUUGGGUCCGUACCAGCUGGGAAUCCACGCAGAAGGGGACCAAGGGGGCCACUGCCAUGAGGCCAGACCCAGCCGAUUGCGCAGGGGGAGCAGAGCACCGUUUGCUUUGAGAUGGUGACGGCGAUGUUGGUGUUGGUGACAGCAAGUCCCUCUGUGUUCUGUCUCCUCCACUCCCUGUGCCUCUGCUGGCUGCCCUGGGAGUGGCAUUGGUGGUCUCGGCUCCAACACAAAGCAGGAAGGUGCGUCUCCUCACCAGCUCUGGCCCUCUGAUCAUCACACAACAGGUACAGUUGGUAGAAAAGUUAAGUUUUUCGACUGUCAUCACACAUGGCCUGCACCGGAGUCUUUGCAGGGGCUGGCCUGUGUGUCUGUGGUCACUCAUGGGACCGGGGACUGCUGCCCCCCCACAGGGAAGACAGAGGGAUGGCACACAUGCGGGUCCCCCAGACCCCAUGCCCUGCUGGGCAUCUCACAGGCUGGAUCGUGAGUCCCCCGGGGGCUGACGUUGUCCCCAACCUGCAGAUGGGAGAACUGAGCCCCAGGGGGCUGGGAUGGCUGUCACCUGGCUGCCAGCGCGUGAAGCCACAGUUCAAACGCAGGACGGCUGGUUCCGAUGUCUCGGCUUCCCCACUGAGGAUUUCCUGCCUCCUCGGCCUCCAGCUGAGGCUCUACGCGGAAUGUACCUGACUGCUCGGUGAGAUCUGCACUCCAGGUGAGACAGGCUGGGACCUGGGACCUGGGACCCUUUGCUGCUGUGCUGCAGCGCUGGCACCUGGACAAACAUCUCCUUGAGCAACAAAAUACACAGAAUCUAUAAGGGACUAAAAAUAACUGCAUGCUUGUGCAGUUGGGGCAAAUUAUGGACAAGAAGAUACAAAAGACCAAAAACCCAACUGCCGCUUCUGAAGAGCCGGGAGCAAAAGCAGGGUACUGGGCUUCCCUGGUGGUGCAGUGGUUGAGAAUCCGCCUGCCAAUGCAGGGGACACGGGUUCGAGCCCUGGUCUGGGAAGAUCCCACAUGCCGUGGAGCAACUAGGCCCGUGAGCCACAACUGCUGAGCCUGCGCGUCUGGAGCCUGUGCUCCGCAACAAGAGAGGCCGCGAUAGUGAGAGGCCCGCGCACCGCGAUGAAGAGUGGCCCCCGCUUGCCGCAACUAGAGAGGGCCCUCGCACAGAAACGAAGACCCAACACAGACAUAAAUAAAUAAAUAAACCCAAAAAAGUUUAAAAAAAAGAAAAGCAGGGUACUGCGCAUGCCCGCUGCACACACCACCACCAAAGGGGUGGGCGAACCCCCUAAGUCACCCCUUCAGCUCUAACACUGGACCCGUCCCUACCCUCACGCCAUAGAAGGAACCAGCUCGCCCCCCCCUCGGGAAGUGAACAAGGGAACCUCUUACCUGUUCUCACUCCCCCCUGCUGCAGCAGGGGCCCCAGUAAAGCCUUGCUUGAAUUUCU
Molecule: long non-coding RNA, 3055 nt
Organism: Balaenoptera ricei (Rice's whale)
Lineage: Eukaryota; Metazoa; Chordata; Mammalia; Artiodactyla; Balaenopteridae
Exons: 3
Source: RefSeq, a predicted model, not a curated record